RNA transcript from Sander lucioperca (pikeperch), 2585 nucleotides. It is a transcript of the gene named coiled-coil domain containing 172, with no coding region annotated. Lineage: Eukaryota; Metazoa; Chordata; Actinopteri; Perciformes; Percidae. The transcript is spliced from 9 exons. The record is from RefSeq and is a predicted model, not a curated record.
GUACAGGGGACUAACUAGCUAGAUGUUAGAUAGUUAACUUUAUAUACAGUAGGAUCUAUGCUUUUGAUUCUAGGUGGCCAGUUAUUAACUGAAAAUGAGUUUAGACACACUCUUUCAACAAAUCCUUCUAACUGAACAACAAUUAACUGAACAGACACAAAAAUUCAAAGAAGUCAAAGUAGCCAUCAUCAGAUACAAUGAGAAGAUCAAGAGUGCCACUGAGAAGAAUGAAAAGACCAAUGAGGAACUUGAUACAAAGGCACAGCAGUUGUCUGCGAUGAGGCUGCAGCAUGACCUGAUGAAGAAAUGUGAAGACCAGAUGUUGAAGCAAAUUGAGAAGCUGCUCGGCCAUCAGAGCCAACUCAGGGAACGUCUCGCCAAGAUAAAGUGGGAGUCUAAGGAAGAAAAGGAAAACUUCUUUCAAGAGAUCUCAAGGUUCAACAGUGACUUCAGUCUUCGAGGAUCCAGAGACGUAGUGUUCGAGAGCCAAACACACACUGAGCUCCUGGACCUGGAGAGGGAGGUGGAAGCAUUAUACAGAGAGAUGGAGCUGAUGAGCCGCAGGAACAAUCGCAUGAGCUCCAUGCAGGAGGAGAAGAGAGUGCUCCAGCUCAAAAUGCAGGGCCUGUGUAACGUCCACAAAGACCUGGAUCAUCAGUUGAGUGAGGCUGAAGCAAUGACAGAAUCUCUGAGAGCCGAGAGCCUGUUUGUCAGUCAGAAAGCUCUCACUGACAGCACCUGUCUGAGGCUGAGGGAGGAGCUGGAGAUGCAUAAAGAAGGAGAGCUUCUGCGAGAGGCCCUCAGCUCUGAAAUACACUUCCUGAAGUCUAAGUUGAUGACAAACGCAGACUGACCAAGCUCUCUCCUGCUGGGGAUGUUUGGCACUGCCUGCUGGAGUGUUUCUGAUGUGGAUCUCAACUGGAAGUUUGUAUUCCAUGUCAAGCAACUGGGAAAUGACCCGAAAUGACGCCAAACAGAAAGGACCUGAGCCCCACGACCUCCUCUCCACCAUGGAGACCUGGAAAGAGGACAGACUACACAGACUCAAAGAGGCAAAGCAAAAAAAAAAACGUUCACACAGAUAGGAGAAAGGAAACAAACCCACAGACGGAGAGGGAGACGAGGAAAACAUGCACACAGGGGACAGAGAGACAGAAACAAGUGGAGAGGUUGAAUCUCUUCCAGAUGCAAACAUCUGGAAUGAGGCACCGACAGCCGGGAGAGAGUUCCCAGGAUGGCUGAUGGUCCAGCAUGGAGAAGCCUGAGUGAAAAGAGAGUACUAGGAAGACGAAACACGGAGAGAGAGAGGCAAACAGCUUGGACACUCAUGUGCUUGUGGGACACAAACAAACGGGUUGGAGGGAUGCAGUGGUUUAUAGAAAGUUUUCAGAUUUCUCGUUGGCAGGACAAACAUGGACUAUAGUACGAGGCUUAAUAAAAUGCAUUACUUGAGACAGACCAGCAGAUGUCUGAGAGCAUGGGAUGAAAUAUAAGUUUUAAGAAGAUCAGACAGGUAGAUAUGUGCCCAUUUACAAUUUAAGACAUUAGAAGGGAGCCAAUGAGGGAAAGCCAAACCUGGAUGAUAUAAAAGUGUGAAUUAGGCUGUCUGCAUCAGCCAAAGACAGAAACAACUUUUUUCUAUGUUGCGUUGGUGAAUAAAGGUUGUCUUGGUGAUUUAUUUAAUGUGCCAAAACAGAUUGGUAGAGAGGGUAGGAUAAAAUUUAAAACCAAGAUUAUUGGCUGUCAAACUUUGAGGAAUCACACAUGUUUUCUAGCGUUACUUGAUCAAACUGGUGUCUGUGUGAAGCAGGGCCAAUGACCAGCAUCUCAGUUUUAUCAUAAUUUCGGGGCAGCAAAUUGCAUGACAUUCAGUUUUCCACAGCAGACAAGCAGGCCUCUAAUUUAAUAAUUUGUAAAAAAAGACCAUCCUCCUUUACAGGCACAUACAGCUGAGUAUCAUCAGCGUAGCAGUUAAAAUUAAUUCCAUGGCUGAAAGGCGAAAUAGCCCUGAGGUACUCCAUAUUUCACAUCAGAAAAUAUUGAUGUAGGAUCAUUAUUGGAAACACAUUGUGUACUUUCAGAUAAGUAAGAGAUGGAAAAUUGUACACAGUGCAAAAAAAGAAGCAGAAAGAAAAGACAACUGGCACCCUUUUGCUUCAGCUGCAGUGUUUCUCUCUCUCAGUCAUCAUUCGCGGUUUCUCAGAGACACUGACACUGCUAAUAGGCCCUAGGAUGAUAAAAGGCUUUUCAGAUUAGUGCUCCAAAGUAGCUUUAGGAUUUUUCCAGGUCCCAGCUCAUGGGCCCUCCCUUGUUGCGGAGCUUGGCUCUGCGAGACAUUUGGUUAUUCCAGGAAGAAAACUCAACCUUGUAUGAAAACAACGUUGAAGGUUCAAUUGUAAUGUUAUGUUUUGCCAUGUGACAUAUGUGGUUGAUGUGUUGUGUUGUGUUGUGUUGUAUGCAUUAAUGUGUGUUGAUUUCUAUGUGAGACAGUGUGAAUUUCUGUCUGUGUGUGAGUUAUUGGUUUAAUUUCCCCUUUUAUGUGACUGUAAAUGAAAGAUAUUUGAAUAAAGCUACUGAGGCUCAUU